Molecule: unclassified non-coding RNA, 354 nt
Filed under: soil metagenome
Description: partial contains 5.8S ribosomal RNA, internal transcribed spacer 2, and large subunit ribosomal RNA
Rfam family: 5.8S ribosomal RNA (bases 1-120)
Source: RNAcentral
GAUGAAGAACGUAGCGAAAUGCGAUAAGUAAUGUGAAUUGCAGAAUUCCGUGAAUCAUCGAAUCUUUGAACGCACAUUGCGCCCCCUGGCAUUCCGGGGGGCAUGUCUGUCCGAGCGUCAUUUCUGCCCUCCAGCCCGGCUGGGUGUUGGGCGCUGUCCCCCCGGGGACACGCCCCAAAGGCAGUGGCGGCGCCGCGUCGGGUCCUCGAGCGUAUGGGGCUUUGUCACCCGCUCGGGACGGACUCGUCGGCGCUGGUCUUCCUCCAGGCGACCCUUCGGGGCUCGUCUUCCUUCGGUUGACCUCGGAUCAGGUAGGGUUACCCGCUGAACUUAAGCAUAUCAAUAAGCGGAGGA